This 154-nucleotide ribosomal RNA is filed under the name uncultured bacterium. RNAcentral describes it as "partial 16S ribosomal RNA". It matches the Rfam family "Bacterial small subunit ribosomal RNA", at positions 1339 to 1500 of the family's 1533-position model. The record is from RNAcentral.
UAAUCGCGCAUCAGCCACGGCGCGGUGAAUACGUUCCCGGGCCUUGUACACACCGCCCGUCAAGCCAUGGAAGCCGGGAGUGCCUGAAGUGCGUGAGCGCAAGCAGCGCCCUAAGGUAAAACCGGUGACUGGGGCUAAGUCGUAACAAGGUACC